RNAcentral lists this ribosomal RNA (199 nucleotides) under uncultured bacterium. Its description in RNAcentral is "partial 16S ribosomal RNA". It matches the Rfam family "Bacterial small subunit ribosomal RNA", at positions 328 to 535 of the family's 1533-position model. The record is from RNAcentral.
ACGCUCGACACCUACGGGGAGGCAGCAGGUGGGGAAUAUUGCACAAUGGGGGAAACCCUGAUGCAGCAACGCCGCGUGAAGGAAGACGGUUUUCGGAUUGUAAACUUCUGUUCUUAGUGAAGAUAGUGACGGUAGCUAAGGAGCAAGCCACGGCUAACUACGUGCCAGUAGCCGCGGUAAUCUGAGCGGGCUGCAAGGC